CCCUUAGAUGUUCUGGGCCGCACGCGCGCUACACUGACGGAGCCAACGAGUACUUUCCUUGUCCGGAAGGACUGGGUAAUCUUGUGAAACUUCGUCGUGCUGGGGAUAGAGCAUUGCAAUUAUUGCUCUUCAACGAGGAAUUCCUAGUAAGCGUGGGUCAUCAGCUCGCGUUGAUUACGUCCCUGCCCUUUGUACACACCGCCCGUCGCUACUACCGAUUGAAUGGCUUAGUGAGCCUUUGGGAUUGGCAGCUUGUACCGGCAACGGUAGCAGGCCGCUGAAAACUUAGGCAAACUUGGUCAUUUAGAGGAAGUAAAAGUCGUAACA
This 327-nucleotide ribosomal RNA is filed under the name uncultured eukaryote. RNAcentral's name for it is "partial 18S ribosomal RNA". It matches the Rfam family "Eukaryotic small subunit ribosomal RNA", at positions 1470 to 1796 of the family's 1831-position model. The record is from RNAcentral.